RNAcentral lists this transfer RNA (73 nucleotides) under Tubulinosema ratisbonensis. It matches the Rfam family "tRNA". Rfam says of the family: Transfer RNA (tRNA) molecules are approximately 80 nucleotides in length. Their secondary structure includes four short double-helical elements and three loops (D, anti-codon, and T loops). Lineage: Eukaryota; Fungi; Microsporidia; Tubulinosematidae. The record is from Rfam by way of RNAcentral.
GCCAGGCUAACUCAGUCGGUAGAGCAUCAGACUCUUAAUCUGAGUGUCGUGCGUUCGAGUUCCACGUUGGGCG